AAAAAAAUUUUGCGAACUUUUCUGCUUGCUUGCUUUUUUGAAAUUUCUGUACAUUUAUUGCAGCCACUGAUCUGACGCUUUGAUUUGUUGGCAUACAUUGUGACUGUGAGCCGAACCACACUGCUUAGUCAAUUCGCAGAGCAAAAGAGUGUGCUCGUUGGUCUCUUCCUCCUGCAAACAGAUUGGGCAGACACUAUUAAUCAAUUUUUUUUUCUCUUACCGGUAUGAUACUGUGCGCGACCUUUCCGAGAAACAUUUUGAUUUUUUGUGGUGCCUUCAUAUUCCAAAUCUCUUCCCAUAGAUCCUCUAAUACGGAGUUUGAUGAGGGGUUGUUGUUGUGGAUUCUUUCAUCUUCUUUUUUUUCGCUACAUAGUACCUUGUUUUGGUUGUGAAUUCUCUAUCCUUCCUGAAGGGACACAAUAACAUGUCCUCCUCUGAGAUCCUAUUUACUAAAGUCUAAAUUAUUUUUUCUACCACAACCGGGGGGAAACUCCUUUGGAUUUUCGCUCUAUCCCAAUCUCUAGAGGAUGUGAGUAAUUCUUCUACUUUUUGAUUGUCAGUGCUUCCUCUAUUAAGUGGCUUGUUGAUUCCAUAGAUCUUCCCAAACUUUCACUCCACUUUCUUUGCCUAUGCUCCAUUUUCCUUUACAUUUUAAAAGCUCCCUCCCUUGUAAUAAGCUGUUCUAUAACCAUGUGUCCUUUUGGUUUUUUGGCACUUCCCAAAAAUCACAAUCUGAAAAAUAUAGGGCUUUGAACACUUGUACCUAUAUAAGCCCCCACCAUCCAUGAAAACACAAGCAGUAUCACAGCGGCAACCUCAAAAACCAGGAUUAGAUGCUGCAGAGGUUUCUAUUUUCAAGCUGACACGUGACCAACUGAACAAGUUGAAAGCAAAGUCUAAGGAAGAUGGAAACACUGUGAGUUACAGCUCUUGUGAGAUGUUAGCUGGUCCUGCGUGUGUGCAAAGCAAGGGGACUUCCAAUGGAUCAAGAAACAAAGUUGUAUAUUGCGACGGAUGGAAGCAAAAUCUAAUGCCCACUUGAUUUGGCUAAUAUUGUGACAUAAUCCAUGGGAGGCCAAUUCAGAGAGGUGAAACAAUUAAACAAAUGAGUUUUGGUAAGUACAAUGAAGUAUAUAACACAUUGAUUCAACCCACAUCACUCAAAUUGAAGUACAAAAAGGUGCUCCUCUUAAGGCAACCAAAGCAUUAAACAUAAUCUGGAGUUUUGAAUAGUUACACUCAGAGCAGCUUAACAUGGAAGGACAUCAAUAUCAAGGUCAUGCUUACGCAAAAUCUAGAGCUCCAAGGUAACAAUGAUGCUGUGGUGCUUGCAGAGCUGCGAUGGUGGCGAUCAACAUCUGAUGAACCCCCACUAGCUCCUCUACCACUAUGUGCUCUCUUUACUGAGGCAUGAGAUAGUUCUUGCUUUUCUUCAUCUUUACUGUGAAACAUCAUUGUCUCUUUUAUGCUCCCAUAGUUUUCUGCAGUUUUGAACAGAAUAAGCAAUUCAGUAUUAACAAAAACGAAUGUGGGGUAUCCACAAUUUCAGGAAUCCUUCACUUCAUGAUGCACUUAUUUGAUAUAAUAUUCAAAAAUCAAAACAGAACAGAACAAAUUACCAAAAGGUUGCUGUGUUUGCACUAUGGUGGUUGAAGAGUUUAGACCUUUCUUUUCUGCAGUGAAACUUGUAUGCAAACCUGAGUUUGAUAUGGCUUGGCUGUAUGAGACAAAAAGGAACAGUGUAAUAAGAAAUUUUAUCCUCAUCUUUGGGGCUAUAUAGGGAAUAAAGUUCUUUGUAUAGA
This is a long non-coding RNA of Arachis ipaensis, 1802 nucleotides long. RefSeq lists it as uncharacterized. Lineage: Eukaryota; Viridiplantae; Streptophyta; Magnoliopsida; Fabales; Fabaceae. The record is from RefSeq and is a predicted model, not a curated record.